This 492-nucleotide ribosomal RNA is filed under the name uncultured bacterium. RNAcentral's name for it is "partial 16S ribosomal RNA". It matches the Rfam family "Bacterial small subunit ribosomal RNA", at positions 29 to 507 of the family's 1533-position model. The record is from RNAcentral.
AGUGAACGCUGGCGGUAGGCCUAACACAUGCAAGUCGAACGGCAGCACAGUAAGAGCUUGCUCUUACGGGUGGCGAGUGGCGGACGGGUGAGGAAUACAUCGGAAUCUACUUUUUCGUGGGGGGUAACGUAGGGAAACUUACGCUAAUACCGCAUACGACCUACGGGUGAAAGCAGGGGAUCUUCGGACCUUGCGCGAUUGAAUGAGCCGAUGUCGGAUUAGCUAGUUGGCGGGGUAAAGGCCCACCAAGGCGACGAUCCGUAGCUGGUCUGAGAGGAUGAUCAGCCACACUGGAACUGAGACACGGUCCAGACUCCUACGGGAGGCAGCAGUGGGGAAUAUUGGACAAUGGGCGCAAGCCUGAUCCAGCCAUACCGCGUGGGUGAAGAAGGCCUUCGGGUUGUUAAGCCCUUUUGUUGGGAAAGAAAAGCAGCAGGUUAAUACCCCGCUGUUCUGACGGUACCCAAAGAAUAAGCACCGGCUAACUUCGUG